RNAcentral lists this ribosomal RNA (497 nucleotides) under uncultured bacterium. RNAcentral's name for it is "partial 16S ribosomal RNA". It matches the Rfam family "Bacterial small subunit ribosomal RNA", at positions 28 to 507 of the family's 1533-position model. The record is from RNAcentral.
GACGAACGCUGGCGGCGUGCCUAAUACAUGCAAGUUGAGCGCUGAAGGUUGGUACUUGUACCAACUGGAUGAGCAGCGAACGGGUGAGUAACGCGUGGGGAAUCUGCCUUUGAGCGGGGGACAACAUUUGGAAACGAAUGCUAAUACCGCAUAAAAACUUUAAACACAAGUUUUAAGUUUGAAAGAUGCAAUUGCAUCACUCAAAGAUGAUCCCGCGUUGUAUUAGCUAGUUGGUGAGGUAAAGGCUCACCAAGGCGAUGAUACAUAGCCGACCUGAGGGGGUGAUCGGCCACAUUGGGACUGAGACACGGCCCAAACUCCUACGGGAGGCAGCAGUAGGGAAUCUUCGGCAAUGGACGAAAGUCUGACCGAGCAACGCCGCGUGAGUGAAGAAGGUUUUCGGAUCGUAAAACUCUGUUGGUAGAGAAGAACGUUGGUGAGAGUGGAAAGCUCAUCAAGUGACGGUAACUACACAGAAAGGGACGGCUAACUACGUG